Molecule: long non-coding RNA, 224 nt
Filed under: Medicago truncatula (barrel medic)
Lineage: Eukaryota; Viridiplantae; Streptophyta; Magnoliopsida; Fabales; Fabaceae
Description: long non-coding RNA (MTRU_LNC004093)
Source: RNAcentral
ACCUUAUAUGCUACUCCCUCCGUUCCUUUAUAAUUGUCACUUUUGCAUACAAAAUUUGAUUUCAAUUAACUGUCGUUUUCAAAGUCCAAUGUAUCAUUAAAUGUGGUUUUACCUAUAUUACCCUUAUAUAUUUAUUACUGAGAGAUAAAUAUAUGAAAUGAAAUAUUAAAUUAUUAAGGUUAUUAUAGGAAAAAGAUAAAUUGUUGUAUCAAAAGUAGUAAAAG